GCUAGAUGUCACUGCUCUGUUCCACUUUGUACAUCUAACAAACAACACCAACCCUACUUAAGUUUUCAUGGAUUCCCGACUGAAUUGAGUCUAAGGAAGAAGUGGAUUCAAGCGGUUCGCCGGGAUGAAGGGCCAAACUUCAAAAUAAAACAAGGUAGCACGUUUGUUUGUAGCCGGCACUUUAGUGAAUCAGACUACAAACGCUACAGCUAGCAACCAACCGGGGUCACAACAAGCAACUGAAAAUCGGGUCUGUACCCUCCCGUUUCCAGUGGAACAACUGGGGACUGCCAAGAAGGGGGUCUGUUUAUAAAAGAGCAUCAACUCGCUUAGGCCAUGACGUUCACUCAGCCCUUCCUCUGGAGCAACCGCUGCCCUGUGAAUAAGAGCCGAUGGAGGAGAUCGCAGCUUCGGUGGUGAUGACAGAACAUGAUUUCGGUUCUGCUCCUAAACCAGAGCUGACUGAACGAAGUGGACUGCUGGAUUUACUGGAGCCAGGAGAUGGCUGCAUGGCAGUCAAGGGUUUCACCAUCGAGAAGCCACUAGCUGAUCGUGGGGCAACGUUGAUUAUACCACCCUUCAAGAUGACAG
Long non-coding RNA from Gadus morhua (Atlantic cod), 591 nucleotides. NCBI's taxonomy places the organism in Eukaryota, Metazoa, Chordata, Actinopteri, Gadiformes, Gadidae. The record is from Ensembl.